This 562-nucleotide ribosomal RNA is filed under the name Pichia inconspicua. Its description in RNAcentral is "eukaryotic LSU rRNA". It matches the Rfam family "Eukaryotic large subunit ribosomal RNA", at positions 67 to 620 of the family's 3401-position model. Lineage: Eukaryota; Fungi; Ascomycota; Pichiomycetes; Pichiales; Pichiaceae. The record is from RNAcentral.
GCCGGGGCAUGCCUCAGUAGCGGCGAGUGAGCGGCAGAGCUCAGAUUUGAAAUCGCAGCACCAUGCUGCGAGUUGUAGAUUGCAGGUGGGAGAGUCUGCGUAGGCCGGUGUCGAAGUCCCUUGGAACAGGGCGCCACUGAGGGUGAGAGCCCCGUGCGAUGCCACGCUCUACGUUUUGUACUCCCCUCUGACGAGUCGAGUUGUUUGGGAAUGCAGCUCUAAGUGGGUGGUAAAUUCCAUCUAAGGCUAAAUACUGGCGAGAGACCGAUAGCGAACAAGUACUGUGAAGGAAAGAUGAAAAGCACUUUGAAAAGAGAGUGAAACAGCACGUGAAAUUGUUGAAAGGGAAGGGUAUUGGGCCCGACAUGGGAAUCGCGCACCGCUGCUCCUUGUGGGCGGCGCUCUGGGCUUUUCCUGGGCCAGCAUCGGUUCUUGCUGCAGGAGAAGGGGCUGUGGAAUGUGGCUGCCGCGCUUUGCCGGGGCAGUGUUAUAGCCACUGGGCCAGAUGCUGCGUGUGGGGACCGAGGACUGCGGCCGCAAGUCUCGAUGCGCUACCGUUCUC